Molecule: long non-coding RNA, 275 nt
Filed under: Bos taurus (domestic cattle)
Lineage: Eukaryota; Metazoa; Chordata; Mammalia; Artiodactyla; Bovidae
Description: long non-coding RNA NONBTAT022607
Source: RNAcentral
AAGCAUUUGGGAACAUUGUACACAUUCCGUUUUUUUCAUCACUUCUCUAACUGAUACAUGUCAAAGUAAGUGACCCCCAGAGAAGAACAGCAGGUGAUGCUUUAGGGCACCCCAAGCACCCAAAAGUGCUGACACUCGAGGACGGUAUCCCUUCUUUUGCUCCACUGAAAUGUUGUUCUGUGAUGUGAGAGGAGUGAGGAACCAAGUGGGACUAUGAAAUUAAUUUGCAAGUGGAUGUGCUAUUUAUAACAGGACUUGACCUCUGCUGUGAUGAG